GGUGAGUAACACGUGGAUAACCUACCUAUAAGACUGGGAUAACUUCGGGAAACCGGAGCUAAUACCGGAUAAUAUUUUGAACCGCAUGGUUCAAAAGUGAAAGACGGUCCUGCUGUCACUUAUAGAUGGAUCCGCGCUGCAUUAGCUAGUUGGUAAGGUAACGGCUUACCAAGGCAACGAUGCAUAGCCGACCUGAGAGGGUGAUCGGCCACACUGGAACUGAGACACGGUCCAG
Molecule: ribosomal RNA, 235 nt
Filed under: uncultured Staphylococcus sp.
Lineage: Bacteria; Bacillati; Bacillota; Bacilli; Caryophanales; Staphylococcaceae
Description: partial 16S ribosomal RNA
Rfam family: Bacterial small subunit ribosomal RNA
Source: RNAcentral